AAACGACUCUCGGCAACGGAUAUCUCGGCUCUCGCAUCGAUGAAGAACGUAGCGAAAUGCGAUACUUGGUGUGAAUUGCAGAAUCCCGUGAACCAUCGAGUCUUUGAACGCAAGUUGCGCCCGAAGCCACUAGGCCGAGGGCACGCCUGCC
RNAcentral lists this ribosomal RNA (151 nucleotides) under Erythranthe jungermannioides. RNAcentral describes it as "5.8S ribosomal RNA". It matches the Rfam family "5.8S ribosomal RNA". Rfam says of the family: 5.8S ribosomal RNA (5.8S rRNA) is a component of the large subunit of the eukaryotic ribosome. It is transcribed by RNA polymerase I as part of the 45S precursor that also contains 18S and 28S rRNA. Functionally, it is thought that 5.8S rRNA may be involved in ribosome translocation. RNAcentral also lists the same sequence under 1 other name. The record is from RNAcentral. Lineage: Eukaryota; Viridiplantae; Streptophyta; Magnoliopsida; Lamiales; Phrymaceae.